GACGAACGCUGGCGGCGUGCCUAAUACAUGCAAGUCGAACGAAGCUGUUUUAACUGGUGCUUGCACCGACUUAAACAACUGAGUGGCGAACGGGUGAGUAACACGUGGGUAACCUGCCCCAAAGCGGGGGAUAACAUUUGGAAACAGAUGCUAAUACCGCAUAAUCACAGAAACCACAUGGUUUCUGUGUCAAAGAUGGUUUCGGCUAUCACUUUGGGAUGGAUCCGCGGCGUAUUAGCUAGUUGGUAAGGUAAUGGCUUACCAAGGCAAUGAUACGUAGGCGAACUGAGAGGUUGAGCGGCCACAUUGGGACUGAGACACGGCCCAAACUCCUGCGGGAGGCAGCAGUAGGGAAUCUUCCACAAUGGACGAAAGUCUGAUGGAGCAACGCCGCGUGAGUGAAGAAGGUUUUCGGAUCGUAAAACUCUGUUGUCAGAGAAGAACGUGUGCGAGAGUAACUGUUCGUGCAGUGACGGUAUCUGGCCAGAAAGCCACGGCUAACUACGUGCCAGCCGCCGCAGUAA
Molecule: ribosomal RNA, 524 nt
Filed under: uncultured bacterium
Lineage: Bacteria
Description: partial 16S ribosomal RNA
Rfam family: Bacterial small subunit ribosomal RNA
Source: RNAcentral